GUCAACAUGGAUAAUUAAAUCACCAACAAUGACAAUGUUAGUUGAACUAGUGCAGAGUGAGGUAAGCAGAUCACUUAUCUCAGACAGAAAACUUUGCAACCCAUAAUUCAAGCCAAGACAAAUGAUUGCGAUUUUUGCCCUGCUUUUUUGCAAUCUUGUGAAAUAGAACCCUAUGAUCUGACCUAUACACACGCCACCAUGUCACAUCAGGUCUGUGUCAUAACAGGAUCAGCCAUGCACAGCCCAACCCUCUGUGCUUCCAGGGACCCUAAGAGCCAGGGCAGAAACUUGCUUUCAAGAAGGCCAGAGAGAGAGAGAGAGAGAGAGAGAGAGAGAGAGAGAGAGUAAUUGGCCAGUAUGAGCAAAAGAGCUAUCUAUUAUCUCAAUGUCUAAAAUUAGCCAAUCUGAAAGCCCCUGCGAGUAAGACCUCUCUAAGAGAUGACUGAGAGAAAGAAGAAAAAGAAGAAGAAGAACGAAAAAACAUUAUGUCUGCUUAGUGCCCGCUGCCCGCUGUGUGCCAAGAAAACGAAAGAUUAUCCAGCCAACAAAGCAAGUUUCGCAAGAGCAAAGUGAGGAUAAUAAAUGACCCAAGGCAGCACAACAGAUAUGGUUGGUAAUGCUGGCUGAUUAGAGAGCACUUUGCCGCCAGGAUUUUGGGUCAUCAUGGCAUGCCUAGGCAAAGAGAGAUAGGAAAACAGGUGGGUAAAAUGGUAGUGCAUAAGCAUAUAAACAUAAAAAAAUCACAUUUGCUUGCUCCUUAUCAAACUGAUGUAUUUCUACUUGUGUCAUUAUUAGCGCUAAUGUCCACGAUUUCUUGUAUUGCACAGAGAAAUGUUCUUUACAGGCAUUUAGUCACAGAGAAAUAAUGAUGGGAGGGGAACAAAUGUAAAAAUAAUAAUGUUAUAUAUAUAUUAUAAAAUCAUUAGAAUUACCAUAGCCUUUGGAUCUGUGACCCAACGACUAUGGUUUUUGAUUUCAUUCUCAUGUUAUCAGUUGCUAGUUACAAUUUUGAAAAACAGAAAGACACAAAUACACACAGAAAACACAGAUCAACAUAGAAGACACUGAACACUUACAAAUGCUCAAGUCAUCCAGACUAUUGAUAUGAUGAGUACAUGGUUGGGUGCAGAUAAUUCAGAAUUAUUGACUUCGCUGGUAAAUACACCUCAGGAUGUCUCUGAAAUUCCUCUUCUAAUUUAUUGCCAUGCACUCACAUUUUGACAGGUGGAGAGAGUGUGGAUUUGUGCAUUAGAUAGAUUAGGUGCCUGGACUGUGCAUGCAGACACACAC
Long non-coding RNA from Clupea harengus (Atlantic herring), 1290 nucleotides. The record is from Ensembl. NCBI's taxonomy places the organism in Eukaryota, Metazoa, Chordata, Actinopteri, Clupeiformes, Clupeidae.